RNAcentral lists this ribosomal RNA (253 nucleotides) under uncultured bacterium. RNAcentral's name for it is "partial 16S ribosomal RNA". It matches the Rfam family "Bacterial small subunit ribosomal RNA", at positions 524 to 776 of the family's 1533-position model. The record is from RNAcentral.
GACGUAGGGCGCGAGCGUUGUCCGGAUUUAUUGGGCGUAAAGAGCUCGUAGGCGGCUUGUCGCGUCGAAUGUGAAAACUCGGGGCUCAACUCCGAGCUUGCAUUCGAUACGGGCAGGCUAGAGUUCGGUAGGGGAGACUGGAAUUCCUGGUGUAGCGGUGAAAUGCGCAGAUAUCAGGAGGAACACCGGUGGCGAAGGCGGGUCUCUGGGACGGUACUGACGCUGAGACGCGAAAGCGUGGGGAGCGAACAGG